GCAGUCGACGGGAUCCAUCGGGCUUUGCUUGGUGGUGAGAGUGGCGAACGGGUGAGUAAUGCGUGACCGACCUGCCCCAUGCUCCGGAAUAGCUCCUGGAAACGGGUGGUAAUGCCGGAUGUUCCACAUGAUCGCAUGUGAUUGUGGGAAAGAUUUCAUCGGCGUGGGAUGGGGUCGCGUCCUAUCAGCUUGUUGGUGAGGUAACGGCUCACCAAGGCUUCGACGGGUAGCCGGCCUGAGAGGGCGACCGGCCACAUUGGGACUGAGAUACGGCCCAGACUCCUACGGGAGGCAGCAGUGGGGAAUAUUGCACAAUGGGCGCAAGCCUGAUGCAGCGACGCCGCGUGAGGGAUGGAGGCCUUCGGGUUGUAAACCUCUUUUGUUUGGGAGCAAGCCUUCGGGUGAGUGUACCUUUCGAAUAAGCGCCGGCUAACUACGUGCCAGCAGCCGCGGUAAUACGUAGGGCGCAAGCGUUAUCCGGAUUUAUUGGGCGUAAAGGGCUCGUAGGCGGCUCGUCGCGUCCGGUGUGAAAGUCCAUCGCUUAACGGUGGAUCUGCGCCGGGUACGGGCGGGCUGGAGUGCGGUAGGGGAGACUGGAAUUCCCCGGUGUAACGGUGGAAUGUGUAGAUAUCGGGAAGAACACCGAUGGCGAAGGCAGGUCUCUGGGCCGUCACUGACGCUGAGGAGCGAAAGCGUGGGGAGCGAACAGGAUUAGAUACCCUGGUAGUCCACGCCGUAAACGGUGGACGCUGGAUGUGGGGCACGUUCCACGUGUUCCGUGUCGGAGCUAACGCGUUAAGCGUCCCGCCUGGGGAGUACGGCCGCAAGGCUAAACUCAAAGAAAUUGACGGGGGCCCGCACAAGCGGCGGAGCAUGCGGAUUAAUUCGAUGCAACGCGAAGAACCUUACCUGGGCUUGACAUGUUCCCGACGACGCCAGAGAUGGCGUUUCCCUUCGGGGCGGGUUCACAGGUGGUGCAUGGUCGUCGUCAGCUCGUGUCGUGAGAUGUUGGGUUAAGUCCCGCAACGAGCGCAACCCUCGCCCCGUGUUGCCAGCACGUUAUGGUGGGAACUCACGGGGGACCGCCGGGGUUAACUCGGAGGAAGGUGGGGAUGACGUCAGAUCAUCAUGCCCCUUACGUCCAGGGCUUCACGCAUGCUACAAUGGCCGGUACAGCGGGAUGCGACAUGGCGACAUGGAGCGGAUCCCUGAAAACCGGUCUCAGUUCGGAUCGGAGCCUGCAACCCGGCUCCGUGAAGGCGGAGUCGCUAGUAAUCGCGGAUCAGCAACGCCGCGGUGAAUGCGUUCCCGGGCCUUGUACACACCGCCCGUCAUGUCAUGAAAGUGGGCAGCACCCGAAGC
This 1362-nucleotide ribosomal RNA is filed under the name Bifidobacterium bifidum. Its description in RNAcentral is "bacterial SSU rRNA". It matches the Rfam family "Bacterial small subunit ribosomal RNA", at positions 57 to 1427 of the family's 1533-position model. Lineage: Bacteria; Bacillati; Actinomycetota; Actinomycetes; Bifidobacteriales; Bifidobacteriaceae. The record is from RNAcentral.